AAAGUACUCCCUCCGUCCCAAAAUAAGUGAUGUGGAUUUGUAUAAAUCUAUACAAAUCCACGUCACUUAUUUCGGGACGGAGGGAGUAUUUC
Non-coding RNA from Brachypodium distachyon (stiff brome), 92 nucleotides. Lineage: Eukaryota; Viridiplantae; Streptophyta; Magnoliopsida; Poales; Poaceae. The record is from Rfam.